Neofelis nebulosa (Clouded leopard) is the source of this 1694-nucleotide long non-coding RNA. RefSeq lists it as uncharacterized. The transcript has 3 exons. NCBI's taxonomy places the organism in Eukaryota, Metazoa, Chordata, Mammalia, Carnivora, Felidae. The record is from RefSeq and is a predicted model, not a curated record.
GUAACUAGCCCAAGUUCACUUGGCAAAGAGUCAACCCAGCAUUGCCUGGAAGUCGCCCUCCUCACACAUGCCUCCCAUUUUCUUGUGCUACAUUCCAAGGGUUCCUGACAUCGUAGGUCAGGCGGCCAAACUCAGAGCACAUUCAGAAGUUGUCCCCAUGUUACAUGCCCAGAAUGCAAUCCAUAAUGCUAAUGAUGGAUGACAACAGUGAAGUCGCAUGCCAUUUGUACUAAAAUUCCAGUACUUGGAAUAAGUCCUAAUUGUUGCAUCUUAUUUUCUCAGAUUUCAAGAUUUCCCAGAAAAACCAGCCUAACCCUGAGGAAUACAUCAUCAUGGUUGUCUUUCCCUUGGGAUUCUGAGCACCAGAGAGCAUCCCCAUUGGUUCAGAAAACGGAAGAAUAAAGCACUGGUGAUUCCAAGGACACACAAGGAAGAGGCGAAAAAGAGCCGGGGAACUAGUGCGGGAACUUCCUUACGAGUACCACUGGCCUGGAUGCUUGCCCUUGUACCCAUACCUUGGACCCUGCCUCCCAGCUGAGUUGGACAUCCUGUCAGUCCACACUCACUGUCUGUUACCUGCCCCCGCCCCCCCAGGUAGGUGCCCUCCCUUUUCUGUGGGUGAGUGGGCUCAAUCCAGUUGUACCUUGAGAUGGGACCCCUUGUCAGUACUCCAUGAGCAUGUGUUGAUGAGUGAAAAACAGGGGGGAAAAAAAUCUUCAUUCACCUAUAAUUCGUUUCACGUGUAGGCAUUAGAUUCACCUAAAACCGGGUAUGCCUGCGGCACCUGUGACAGAUUGCUUUUCCAGCAGCUUAACUCAAGGAGCAUUGCAUUGGCCAAGCAACACCCUUUGAUAAGGUGGAUGGGGAAUGCCUUACACUCUGUACCGUCCCUCACUCCUAGAGGGUGGCCCAGCAGGCCUGGCAGCUCCGUGAUCCUCCACGGUUUACUAGCAUCCACAGAACGCAUGUGAGCCAGGCGAGCGAGCACACUCUCCAUCCUGGGUCAGGCAUCCCUUCACUUAGUGUAGGUGGAGCCUAAGAUGCCGUCCACCCUCACCACUGAAAGCAUCAUCAUCGUGGUUGAUGCUACUGGCCUAUGACGUCAAACCACUUAACCAACCCCAUAGCGCUUCCUUAAAUCCUUUUCGGAACCAGGCAAGCCGUAUCUGUAUGCAUGCACAGCAGAUCUGGGAGAGAGUUUACAAGAAAGUCUGUUUUUCUCCCUUCAUUAUUUGUGUAUCAGUUUGGCCUUUGAUUAAGUACUUCAUCUGCAAAGCCAUUUACUCAUACUAGCAAAGGCAGGGUCAACAGAAGAAAGCCUCCAGUGCUCACCAGCUGCCCUCAGCAGCACCUUCGAUGAUCUUGCCUUCAGAUAUACAAUCUGAAAAGGGGAAUUUCCUCAGAAGCCCUCAAUGACCAACACAAAGAAAACAAAGGAAAAGGGAAUUUGUGACUGUGAAUCACAGUCUCCACCAAAAUCCACACUCAUUCACCCAGACAGUCCCAGUAAACAGCUGGCCAGCCCUUCACUGGACACCACUUUGCAAAGCCGGGCUUAUUUCUUUUCAACCCUUUGCCACCAUCAGGGCUGGCUGAGCCUCACACAAAGCCCCGGUCGUCCUGUGGCGGAUGCUCGCCUCUCCCACCGCUGUUUGCAGAACUACAUCAUAAACAAUCACAUCUCUGUAGGGAAU